GCGGGUGUAGCUCAGUGGUAGAGCUCCAGCCUUCCAAGCUGGUGACGAGGGUUCGAUUCCCUUCACCCGCU
RNAcentral lists this transfer RNA (71 nucleotides) under Actinomycetes bacterium. Its description in RNAcentral is "Actinobacteria bacterium tRNA-Gly". It matches the Rfam family "tRNA". From Rfam's summary of the family: Transfer RNA (tRNA) molecules are approximately 80 nucleotides in length. Their secondary structure includes four short double-helical elements and three loops (D, anti-codon, and T loops). Lineage: Bacteria; Bacillati; Actinomycetota; Actinomycetes. The record is from RNAcentral. RNAcentral also lists the same sequence under 4 other names.